This 1372-nucleotide ribosomal RNA is filed under the name uncultured bacterium. RNAcentral describes it as "bacterial SSU rRNA". It matches the Rfam family "Bacterial small subunit ribosomal RNA", at positions 28 to 1381 of the family's 1533-position model. The record is from RNAcentral.
GAUGAACGCUGGCGGCGUGCCUAAUACAUGCAAGUCGAGCGAACGGACGAGAAGCUUGCUUCUCUGAUGUUAGCGGCGGACGGGUGAGUAACACGUGGAUAACCUACCUAUAAGACUGGGAUAACUUCGGGAAACCGGAGCUAAUACCGGAUAAUAUUUUGAACCGCAUGGUUCAAAAGUGAAAGACGGUCUUGCUGUCACUUAUAGAUGGAUCCGCGCUGCAUUAGCUAGUUGGUAAGGUAACGGCUUACCAAGGCAACGAUGCAUAGCCGACCUGAGAGGGUGAUCGGCCACACUGGAACUGAGACACGGUCCAGACUCCUACGGGAGGCAGCAGUAGGGAAUCUUCCGCAAUGGGCGAAAGCCUGACGGAGCAACGCCGCGUGAGUGAUGAAGGUCUUCGGAUCGUAAAACUCUGUUAUUAGGGAAGAACAUAUGUGUAAGUAACUGUGCACAUCUUGACGGUACCUAAUCAGAAAGCCACGGCUAACUACGUGCCAGCAGCCGCGGUAAUACGUAGGUGGCAAGCGUUAUCCGGAAUUAUUGGGCGUAAAGCGCGCGUAGGCGGUUUUUUAAGUCUGAUGUGAAAGCCCACGGCUCAACCGUGGAGGGUCAUUGGAAACUGGAAAACUUGAGUGCAGAAGAGGAAAGUGGAAUUCCAUGUGUAGCGGUGAAAUGCGCAGAGAUAUGGAGGAACACCAGUGGCGAAGGCGACUUUCUGGUCUGUAACUGACGCUGAUGUGCGAAAGCGUGGGGAUCAAACAGGAUUAGAUACCCUGGUAGUCCACGCCGUAAACGAUGAGUGCUAAGUGUUAGGGGGUUUCCGCCCCUUAGUGCUGCAGCUAACGCAUUAAGCACUCCGCCUGGGGAGUACGACCGCAAGGUUGAAACUCAAAGGAAUUGACAGGGACCCGCACAAGCGGUGGAGCAUGUGGUUUAAUUCGAAGCAACGCGAAGAACCUUACCAAAUCUUGACAUCCUUUGACAACUCUAGAGAUAGAGCUUUCCCCUUCGGGGGACAAAGUGACAGGUGGUGCAUGGUUGUCGUCAGCUCGUGUCGUGAGAUGUUGGGUUAAGUCCCGCAACGAGCGCAACCCUUAAGCUUAGUUGCCAUCAUUAAGUUGGGCACUCUAAGUUGACUGCCGGUGACAAACCGGAGGAAGGUGGGGAUGACGUCAAAUCAUCAUGCCCCUUAUGAUUUGGGCUACACACGUGCUACAAUGGGCAAUACAAAGGGCAGCGAAACCGCGAGGUCAAGCAAAUCCCAUAAAGUUGUUCUCAGUUCGGAUUGUAGUCUGCAACUCGACUACAUGAAGCUGGAAUCGCUAGUAAUCGUAGAUCAGCAUGCUACGGUGAAUACGUUCCCGGGUCU